This is a long non-coding RNA of Bubalus bubalis (water buffalo), 484 nucleotides long. RefSeq lists it as uncharacterized. Lineage: Eukaryota; Metazoa; Chordata; Mammalia; Artiodactyla; Bovidae. The record is from RefSeq and is a predicted model, not a curated record. The transcript has 2 exons.
GGAGGAGGUGUGAGCUGAACUCUGAGAGACGAAUAAACAUCUGCCCAGGGGCCGCGCAAAGAACUUCCUGAGUGGGACCCUUCAGAGUCUGCAGUGUUGUGCAAAAGAAAAAUGACAUGGAAACCCCAAAACUGCCUUUCUGAAGUGUCAGUCCUACUGGGCAUGGUGGAGGGGCUGGAAAGAGAGAAGAGGCUGAGUCCCCAGUUCAAAGUGGCCUGUGUCCCCUCUGCUGUUUUGUACACUGAAUGACAGCCAAAAAGACGUCUCUGGUUAUCUGCUGUGAAACAUUCUGAUCAGGCCCACCAGUGAAUGGCUGCAGGAAAGAAGAAAUUAACACAUUCUGGCCAUAACCAAGACUUCCUCCCUCCCUUUUAGUACAAAAGAAGCCUGAACUCUAACUUGGGGAAGAUGGUUCUUUGGGACACAAGUCCAUCAUCUUCUCAGUCUGCUGGCUUUCUGAAUAAAGUUGCUAUCCUUGCCCCAA